RNAcentral lists this long non-coding RNA (836 nucleotides) under Salvia miltiorrhiza (redroot sage). RNAcentral's name for it is "long non-coding RNA (SMIL_LNC006418)". The record is from RNAcentral. Lineage: Eukaryota; Viridiplantae; Streptophyta; Magnoliopsida; Lamiales; Lamiaceae.
UUGGGAUGUUGGAGGGCGCGGUGCCUCUAGUCGAGCCCAGAUUGGAGUCGCUCAAUUUUUUGAGGUUUUAUGGGCGGAGAUUCAUGGAGGCGUCUACGUUGGGUGAUGGGACUGAGGCUAAUGAGUUCAUGUUGUAUAGGCAGCCUACCUCCAAUACUUCUUCCACUGUUUCGUAUAAUUCUUUCUCCUAUAUGUCGUCGCAUCAAGUUUCUGGUCCCAGAUAGCAUUGGUUGUUAAUACGACUUUAUUUGUCUAAAAUCGUUUUGGUUUGUAUGUAAUCAAUUCGAACAGAGAUUUUACUAUUAGCAUAUUUUAGGAAUUGAAUUAUUGUGAUUGUUGUUUCAUACUAUGUUAGAAUAUUAGUGGGAAGAUCCGGGGAGGACUUUGAUUGCUGAUAGAGAUUUAAAAGCUUAAUAUGUGUUGAUCUUGAUUUUCAUCAGAAUUCGUACUUGCUAAUGGUACAUGGAUUUGGUUUCUAUUUUGGGAAAUUAUACUCUAUUNUAGGUUUAGUGGGCGGAGAUUCAUGGAGGCGUCUACGUUGGGUGAUGGGAAUGAGGCUAAUGAGUUCAUGUUGUAUAGGCAGCCUACCUCCAAUACUUCUUCCACUGCUUCGUAUAAUUCUUUCUCCUAUAUGUCGUCGCAUCAAGUUUCUGGUCCCAGAUAGCAUUGGUGGUUAAUGCGACUUUAAUUAUUUGUCUAAAAAUCGUUUUGGUUUGUAUGUAAUCCAUAUAUUUUACUAUUAGCAUAUUUUAGGAAUUGAAUUAUUGUAAUUGUUGUUUCAUAUGUUAGAAUAUUAGUGGGAAGAUCCGGGGAGCACUUAUAUUGUUGAUAGAGAG